Molecule: unclassified non-coding RNA, 3759 nt
Filed under: Hevea brasiliensis (rubber tree)
Lineage: Eukaryota; Viridiplantae; Streptophyta; Magnoliopsida; Malpighiales; Euphorbiaceae
Source: RNAcentral
CGGCAACAGUCGACUUCAGCACAAGCUCGUCGCUUGAAAUUUUGUAAUUUUGAUAGCCUUCAGUGAUUAUAAUUAAACUAGAUAACAUCACUGGAUAGUGGCUUUUCAUCUUCCUACUGCAACAUUUAAACGCUUUCCUUUGCAAUCUGCGAGUGCAGAUCUGCACAUGUCAAAGAGACAGGAGGAAUGGAUCGGAUCCUAAAAGCUGCAAGAACCUCUGGUUCCCUCAACCUCUCCAAUCGCUCUCUUAGAGAUGUGCCCGAUGAGGUAUACCGAAGUUUGGAUGCAGUCGGGGCGGGUGAGAAGUGGUGGGAGGCUGUAGAGCUGCAAAAGCUGAUUUUGGCUCAUAAUAAUAUUGAGUCUUUAAAGGAAGACCUGAGAAAUUUAACUCAACUUACUGUGUUGAAUGUUAGUAAUAACAAACUCACGGAGCUUCCAGCUGCAAUCGGAGAGUGAAUGCUUGCCUUGCUUAAAUCAUUAGAGGUGUCAUUUAACAUGAUACAGAAAGUGCCUGAGGAAAUUGGAUCAGCAGCCGCUCUUGUCAAGUUUGAUUGUUCGGGCAAUCAACUUAAGGAACUUCCAAGUUCACUUGGAAGAUGUUUAGAUUUAUCUGAAUUGAAGGCAUCAAACAACUUUAUCAGCAGCUUGCCUGAGGACCUAGCAAACUGUUCAAAAUUGACAAAAGUAGAUGUCGAGGGAAACAAGCUAAAAAAUUUUUCUGGGAGUUUGAUGGCAUCAUGGACCAUGCUUACAGAACUAAAUGCAUCAAAGAACAUGCUGACAGUUAUACCGGACAACUUUGGAAGCCUUUCACGGCUCAUUCGUCUUGAGCUUCAUCAGAACAGAAUUUCUUCGAUUCCACCAUCAAUAAGGGGUUGCUGUUCCCUCAUGGAAUUUUAUAUGGGGUCAUACUCUAUUACUCUCAUCCAUUUUUACAUUUGAAUUGUUAUGUGGAUUUUCUCUUGAACUAUUCCACUUUUGAAACUUAUCAUUCGGGAUUUGUUUUGUCACCUCAUAUUUUAAGGAACAAUUCACUUUCUACUUUACCAGCAGAGAUUGGGGAACUUUGUCGCUUAGCAACACUAGAUCUUCACUCAAACCAGGUCUGCUUGGUUUUAUUUUAUUCUAAAAUGAUAGUAUAUUUGGUUGUUGAGACAGGUUAGACUGUUAGUACAGAUAUACAAUGGUUUAUUUGAUCUGAUCGCUAUAGUUCAUUUUCACACUUUCACUUGAAAGUUGACAGGAAAUCAUUUCCAUUCCAAAUUAAUAAUUUUGUAUCAGCACCAAUAUUUAGUAUUUUACAAUCCAUGAAUCAUAAUAAUUGCUUUGAAGAUAUAGUUGCACUAGUCAUUUAGGAGAGCUCAAAUUGCAAUUUAUUCAUUGCUCUUAUGUUCUAAUGGAUUGAUUUCUGAAGAAAUCUUUAAAAUCAUAGCUAAUAAUAGUGAUUGAUUAGAUCAAAUGUGAAGUAUUAUACAGAGUGAUAUUAUCAUGGUUAUCUCAGAGACUCUGGGUACUGGAUCACUAAAUUAUGACCUGAAUACUAAUUGCUUCAUACAAGUGCAGCUGAAGGAGUUUCCCAUGGAGGCAUGCAAAUUACAUCUUUCAGUCCUGGAUCUUUCAAAUAAUUCAUUGAGUGGAUUGCCCUCAGAGAUUGGAAAGAUGACAACUUUGAGAAAACUGUUGCUUACUGGCAAUCCAUUGCGAACCAUACGCAGCUCAUUGGUUUCUGGACCUACACCUGCUUUAUUGAAGUAUCUUCGAAGUAGACUUUUUGAAGAUUCUGAAGUUACUACUCCAGCAAAGGAGGAUGUUAUUGCCAUGGCAGCUCGGUUAUCUGUUUGUUCCAAGGGCUGGGUUUGAAUGCUGUUCCAUCAGAAAUAUGGGAAUCAGGUGAAGUUGUAAAAGUUGAUCUUUCUAGGAAUUCCGUCCAAGAGCUGCCAGUUGAACUUUCUUUAUGCAUCUCCCUCCAGAGUUUGAUUUUAUCCAGGAACAAGAUCCAAGAGUGGCCUGGCGCAAUUCUGAAAUCACUUGCUAAUCUUUCAUGUUUGAAGCUAGACUAUAAUCCACUCGGACAGAUUCCAUCAAAUGGAUUUCAAGCAGUCUCAAUGCUUCAGAUUCUGGAUCUAAGUGGUAAUCCAUCUUCAUUACCUGACCAUUCAGCAUUUUCUAGCUUGCCUCAUUUGCAAGAGCUUUACCUAAGACAUGUGCGAUUGCAUGAGGUACCGUCAGAUAUAUUGAGCUUACAACAACUGCGAAUCCUCGACUUGAGCCAAAAUGCUUUACAAUCAAUCCCAGAGGUAAUAAUUGUGUUUGUUAGACAAAACAUAUUCAACAUAUGAAACUGCUGCUUUUGUAUUAAGAACUUGUUAAAAGUCAGCAUUUUUUUCCCAUGACUUUAAUUUUGAGAUAUAAAAGAGACUUGGAAAAGGAUUCGUCUAGUACAUAAAAGGUUUGUGCAUAAUUUUUCCUCUUUUUUUCUGUGUUCAGCCAGUUUGAAAUUUUUAUUUCUUAGUUAUUUUAUUGAGUGCUGAAGUAAAAGUGCCAACUUUAUAUCCUUUUUUUAAAAAUAGAAAAUAUCUUAUUCCCUUUUGGUGCAUUGCCUGCCAGUACGUUCUUGACUGUGUUAAUUUUGCAUGCAGGGUUUCAAAACUCUUACUUCUCUUACUGAGCUUGACCUGUCAGACAACAAUAUUUCAGCACUUCCACCAGAGCUGGGUUUACUUGAACCAAGCCUACAGGCCUUGAGACUUGGUGGGAAUCCACUGAGAAGCAUCCGAAGGACAAUUUUGGAUAGAGGAACAAAAGCUGUUCUGAAGUAUUUAAAGGACAAAAUUCCAGAGCAGUAGCAUUGUUCAUAUCACCCUGAUACUCCAGGUUGCUUUCAUUUUAUUUUUUUAAUUUUUUUGGGGUCUAGAAAUGCGAUUUGAAGGAUUUCUUUUGCUAAUUCUGAGUUUGACCAUUUGCAACAUAAACAUCGGUACAAACAAAUGGCCACAUUGCUUCUAUUCAUAAGAUACUUUGUUUGACCAUUGUUGAUUGCCCUCUUUGCUUUUUGCAACUUAUUUUGUUGAUUUUAUGAAAAUAAAAUUAAGCUGGCUUCAAUAAUUAUCAUAUAUUACUAAAACUAGAUCAAUUGAAACUGAAAAUAAAAAAUAUAUAUUUUCCCUUGCAGUCUAUUCAAUACAUUAAAGGAAAAUUACAAUUUACUAAUUAAUAGUUUGGCACAUUUGUCAAGUAGGAUAUUAAUUUGUGAAAAAUAGCUUGUGACAAAUACCAUAUAUGGCACAUUAUUAGGGUUUGUGAAAUUUUGAAGCCAUCUUUGGUUGAUUAGAAAAAUAUCAUGUGUAUCAUUUCUUGAAGAACUGAACAGCUGCUAUAGAUUAAAGAAUGGACUCAACUCCAAAAGAUAUGGUAUUAAAUACUACAUAAUUUAAUAUUAGAAUCAUUUCAUUGCCACUACAGCUCCUAUUGUGCCUAUUUUAUUCUUAAGCUACUUUUAGCUCCAUUGAUUGGAUUCUAUCAUGUCCUUAGUUCUUUGGUUUGGAAUUUUAUUUAGUUUAUUUCUAUUUUUCAAAUUGUUGUUUGUUUUCUUUCACUAUUAUAUAUGCCACUAUUAGUUAGGUGCAACUAGAGAUUAAAAACUGCAGAAUGCAAAAUCUGCAUAUGCAGAUUGUUUCUGCAAUCUGCAAUUUGCAUAUGCAGAUCACAAAUUACAGAAUCUGCAAACUGCAAGCAAUCUACAAUCUACAAAUUCUGCAA